RNAcentral lists this ribosomal RNA (447 nucleotides) under uncultured bacterium. Its description in RNAcentral is "bacterial SSU rRNA". It matches the Rfam family "Bacterial small subunit ribosomal RNA", at positions 329 to 793 of the family's 1533-position model. The record is from RNAcentral.
CACCAGACUCCUACGGGAGGCAGCAGUAGGGAAUAUUGCUCAAUGGGGGAAACCCUGAUGCAGCGACGCCGCGUGAGCGAUGAAGUAUUUCGGUAUGUAAAGCUCUAUCAGCAGGGAAGAAGAUGACGGUACCUGACUAAGAAGCCCCGGCUAACUACGUGCCAGCAGCCGCGGUAAUACGUAGGGGGCAAGCGUUAUCCGGAUUUACUGGGUGUAAAGGGAGCGUAGACGGCGAUGCAAGCCAGAUGUGAAAGCCCGGGGCUCAACCCCGGGACUGCAUUUGGAACUGUGUGGCUGGAGUGUCGGAGAGGCAGGCGGAAUUCCUAGUGUAGCGGUGAAAUGCGUAGAUAUUAGGAGGAACACCAGUGGCGAAGGCGGCCUGCUGGACGAUGACUGACGUUGAGGCUCGAAAGCGUGGGGAGCAAACAGGAUUAGAUACCCCGGUAC